Molecule: transfer-messenger RNA, 391 nt
Filed under: Candidatus Kaiserbacteria bacterium
Lineage: Bacteria; Candidatus Kaiseribacteriota
Also listed under: 1 other name
Rfam family: transfer-messenger RNA
About the family: Bacterial tmRNA, also known as 10Sa RNA or SsrA, is named for its dual tRNA and mRNA-like properties. Its role is to liberate the mRNA from a stalled ribosome.
Source: RNAcentral
GGGGGUGACUGGCUUCGACAGGAAGUUCAGUUUGCCUGUGUGCAAGACGAAGGCGGACGAACCUUCUAAAAAUCGUCCAAACCUAAGUGCAAACAAAACUGCACGGGGGGUUCUCUCUCCUAUUCAGGUGGGAAAUCUCGGCUUCGCCUUCGCCUAAACGCGCGGUGCGACCGUUCACUCGAUGAUUCCGAUGCGCUGAUGUGAACGUCAUAUUAUCGGAUACGGCUUUUAAUUCACUCCGACUAAAAGCUUAAAGAAAGAGAGUCCGACGCACGACUAUGUUGCGCAUUCUGUAGGUCGUAUGUCUAAACAAAAUUGAAUGCCCUACGUCUUGUAGAUUCGCUUGCAGAUCAUUUUCUGGACUCGGGAUCAUUCCCCGACACCUCCACCC